RNAcentral lists this ribosomal RNA (502 nucleotides) under uncultured bacterium. Its description in RNAcentral is "partial 16S ribosomal RNA". It matches the Rfam family "Bacterial small subunit ribosomal RNA", at positions 28 to 507 of the family's 1533-position model. The record is from RNAcentral.
GACGAACGCUGGCGGCGUGCCUAAUACAUGCAAGUCGAACGAACCGCGACUAAGUGCUUGCACUAAGUCAAGGUGAGUGGCGAACGGGUGAGUAACACGUGGGUAACCUACCUCAUAGUGGGGGAUAACAGUCGGAAACGACUGCUAAUACCGCAUAGGACAUAGGAUCACAUGAUCCAGUGAGGAAAGGUGGCGCAAGCUAUCGCUAAGAGAUGGACCCGCGGUGCAUUAGCUAGUUGGUAGGGUAAAGGCCUACCAAGGCGACGAUGCAUAGCCGACCUGAGAGGGUGAUCGGCCACAUUGGGACUGAGACACGGCCCAAACUCCUACGGGAGGCAGCAGUAGGGAAUCUUCCGCAAUGGACGAAAGUCUGACGGAGCAACGCCGCGUGAGUGAAGAAGGUCUUCAGAUCGUAAAGCUCUGUUGUUAGAGAAGAACAGCGCAUAGAGUAACUGCGAUGCGUGUGACGGUAUCUAAUCAGAAAGCCACGGCUAACUACGUG